RNAcentral lists this transfer RNA (74 nucleotides) under bacterium (Candidatus Gribaldobacteria) CG08_land_8_20_14_0_20_39_15. Its description in RNAcentral is "tRNA-Gly". It matches the Rfam family "tRNA". From Rfam's summary of the family: Transfer RNA (tRNA) molecules are approximately 80 nucleotides in length. Their secondary structure includes four short double-helical elements and three loops (D, anti-codon, and T loops). Lineage: Bacteria; Candidatus Gribaldobacteria. The record is from RNAcentral.
GCGGGGUUAGUUGAGCGGCUCAACAUAACCUUCCCAAGGUUGAGAGGCGGGUUCGACUCCCGUACCCCGCUCAA